UACAGAGGUCCCAAGCGUUGUUCGGAUUCACUGGGCGUAAAGGGUGCGUAGGUGGUGAGGUAAGUCGGAUGUGAAAUCUCGGAGCUUAACUCCGAAAUGGCAUUGGAAACUACCUCGCUAGAGGAUCGGAGGGGAGACUGGAAUUCUCGGUGUAGCAGUGAAAUGCGUAGAUAUCGAGAGGAACACCAGUGGCGAAGGCGGCAUCCUGGACCAUUACUGACGCUGAAUCGCGAAAGCUAGGGGAGCAAACGGG
RNAcentral lists this ribosomal RNA (253 nucleotides) under uncultured bacterium. Its description in RNAcentral is "partial 16S ribosomal RNA". It matches the Rfam family "Bacterial small subunit ribosomal RNA", at positions 524 to 776 of the family's 1533-position model. The record is from RNAcentral.